CGAAUUUAAGAAAUUUUACAAAUGGAUACUCUUAGGUGAAAUAGUUGCAGUACAAUUCAUAUUUUCAAUAGUGGUAUAUUGCCUUUUAAAAGUGGACGCUUCUUUUGGAUAUAAAUUGAAAUUCAUUGGAAUAUUAGUGUUUAGGUUUGCGAUGGUUUGGUUUCAAUGUACUUUAGGAGAAGAUAUUAUACAUUUGCAUAGCAGCCUAUCUACUGAGUUAUAUGCCAUGACGUGGUACCAUAUGCCUAACCAAUACAAGAAAAUGAUAAUUAUUAUGUUUCAACGCACACAAAAAGAUUUAAC
Molecule: long non-coding RNA, 303 nt
Organism: Adelges cooleyi (spruce gall adelgid)
Lineage: Eukaryota; Metazoa; Arthropoda; Insecta; Hemiptera; Adelgidae
Exons: 3
Source: RefSeq, a predicted model, not a curated record